GUUGUAUUCAUUACUCUAUUGGCACCAAAACAAAUAUUAUUAACAUGUGGGACAUUUGGUUUGUCACCAAACCUUUCAUUUAAAAAAAAAAAAAAAAACUCAAUUAUUUCUUGUUGGGUAUUAGAGUUGGGUUAGGGUUAAUGGGGUUAGGGUUAGGGCUUCUGUGGUUAUAGUUAUGGUUAUUGAUAUUAAUGUUAGGGCUUCUGUGGUUAUAGUUAUGGUUAUUGAUAUUAAUGUUAGGGCUUCUGUGGUUAUAGUUAUGGUUAUUGAUAUUAAUGUUAGGGCUACUGAGGUUAUAGUUAUGGUUAUUGAUAUUAAGGUUAGAGCUACUGAGGUUAUAGUUAUGGUUAUUGAUAUUAAUGUUAGGGCUACUGAGGUUAUAGUUAUGGUUAUUUAUAUUAAUGUUAGGGCUAUUGUGGUUAUAGUUAUGGUUAUUUAUAUUAAUGUUAGGGCUAUUGUGGUUAUAAUUAUGGUUAUUGAUAUUAAUGUUAGGGCUAUUGUGGUUAUAGAUAUGGUUAUUGAUAUUAAGGUUAGGGCUAUUGUGGUUAUAGUUAUGGUUGUUGAUAUUAAGGUUAGAGCUACUGAGGAUACAGUUAAGGUUACUGAGGUUUAGG
Ictalurus punctatus (channel catfish) is the source of this 614-nucleotide long non-coding RNA. The record is from Ensembl. NCBI's taxonomy places the organism in Eukaryota, Metazoa, Chordata, Actinopteri, Siluriformes, Ictaluridae.